Molecule: long non-coding RNA, 2479 nt
Organism: Monodelphis domestica (gray short-tailed opossum)
Lineage: Eukaryota; Metazoa; Chordata; Mammalia; Didelphimorphia; Didelphidae
Source: RefSeq, a predicted model, not a curated record
UAGGACAAACUGCGCAGUCGCGAAGCGCCCCGGAGCCCGUUAGGGUGGAGCAUAUUUCUACGCGUGCGUAAUUUAGAUUUUGCGACUUGUGCGGCAGUUCUGAACUGUACGAUUUUUCCGUAUCCUGGCAACGCUCUACCUUUGACCGCUAGGGGCUGGGACGUCGAGAGAGCUGGGUUUGUCUAGUUUCUGCCCUAACGGGGUGAAAGCAACCUGGUUGCUGAGUGAGAGGGCAUCUGGGCUAGGGGGAGGGCAGGUAGUCGCGUGGAUUUCGGAAGGAGAAGAGCCCCGCAAAGGUGAUAAGUCAGUUACAGUGAAAAUAUCACUACAGAGAAGCACAAAAUACCUAUGAAAAUAUUGGUUCCCGAUUUUAGUUUCAACUUUAUCAUCAAUUCAAAAUGUGCCUUACAUCUGUAGAAACAACACCAAAAACAGCUCAAGAAAUACUAAGAGAGCAACUAGUUUGGAUUCUAGGUAUUCUAAAUAAUCUAAAGAAAGAUAUGAUCUCAGUUAAAGAAACUUGUGAGGAAAUAAGGGGAAAUUAUACAGAAAUGAACAUCGUCAUGGAUAAAAUAUUGCUGGAAACAGCAAAAAUGAGAAGUGAACUAGUACAGAAAAUUGAUAGGGAGAACAAAGUAGAACAAGUCCAGGAUGUAACAGAACUAGAAAACCAGUUGGUAAUGACCAGUCUUGAAGAUAGAUGCAAACAAUCAAACCUCAGAAUAAUUGGCAUCUCAGAGGGCACUGAAAAAGAAAAUAAUCUGAAUCUUUAUAACAUGAAGAAUUAAUUUGAGAGACUUUACCCCAGUUGAUACACUGAAAUCAGAAAAAUACUUUGAACAAGAAGAAACUCAAAGUUUAAGUCUCCAAGGUACAUUCUCAACAGAUUCUAAAACUCAAGCCAGAAUCUAAGCCUCAAGAUAGAAGAAAUCGUUUAUCAGAAAGCACUAAUCUAUAUUUUAUCCAUACUUUUCAGUUAAACCCUUGGAAAAAGUAAUGGCAUUGGCAUAGAAUAUAAAACUAAAAGAUAGGGACUUGGAUUCUAGAGUAAUUCUUAAAGUAAACCUAUGAAUUCUUUUUGAAGGUGGAAGAAUGAUGUUGAAAACAAGCCUUAUUAGAAUUUGUUGAUAAAAAUAAAUGAAAAGUGUUUUUUGAGCAAAAGGGGAACCAGCACUCCCUUAGGUAGAUAAGUAAUUAAGGUAUUCAACAAAGGAUUCCAAAAGUAUGUUUUUAAGUAUAGUUGGGAUUUUAUAAAGUAGAAUUUACAAACCUUUUUAAAAAGAUGUAAAAUUUAACAGUAUUGUGUUAGCUUCAGUUAAAUAAAAAACUGUUUAGAAUACUAGCUACUGGGUAAAAUACAAGGUUUCUCUUGUGGAGAUUAUAGUCUAAUAAGAUUGUUACAUUAGUUUUGAAAAUAAGAAAAAUUAAAUGGAUGCCAUUUUAAAAGAAAGUGGGAAAAAGAGCAAAUUAUUCCAUAAUGAAACUUACCUUUAACUAAAUUAGAAGGUUGGAGAAAGGAUAAAAUCUUAACUAUUGUAACACUGAAUAUUAUGAAUUUGAAAAUAAUUUGUGUACAAGAGACGGUUUGAUGCAAAAAGAUAUUAGGAAGACAUGACCUUAGGAAAGAUAAUUAUCAUUCAUUGACAAGCAGGUGAUAAAAGAGUAUUUAAUGAAAAGAUUAAACUAGUUAGUCCCUUCCUGUUUGGAUUUAAUUUUAAGUUCCAUAGGACUAUUAAUUAAUGGUAGAACUAACAGUAAAAGCCUAACAAUAUUAAGGUUUUUACAUACCUAAAAACACAGCAAUUAGGGCAAAAACUUAAUAUUUAGGAGAACAAUUUGAAAUCAUACCCCUACCAUAUAUUUACUUUGGGGGUUUAAUACUUUUUUCCAUAAUUACAUGUGAAAACAAUUUUUAAUGUUCAUUUGAAAAAAAAAAUCUAGCCUAAUUCUCCCCUUCUUUCUCUCUCCUCCCUGAUAUAAACAAUCUGAUAUCGAUUUUACAUAUGCAGUAAUGUAAAACGUUUUUCCAUGAGUCAUUUUUUUUUAACCCUUACCUUCCAUCUUGGAGUCAAUACUGUGUAUUGGCUCCAAGGCAGAAGAGUGGUAAGGGCUAGGCAAUGGGGGUCAAGUGACUUGCCCAGGGUCACACACCUGGGAAGUGUCUAUCCAUGAGUCAUUUUAUUGAACACAACAAAAAUAAAAUACAUAUUAUUUAUAACAAGAGUAAAAAAAUACGUUAUUAGGUUACUUGUUAUAGAUCAAGGAAAAUCGGUAAAUUGUAAAAUCAGACUGAAUGGAUUAAAUUCUAGUAAGAUAGAAGAAAAAAAUGGAAAAAUUUAAAAAAAUGUUUUUCAAGUAUACAGUAACUUUUACAAAACUACUUUCUUACAGAGGGGACUCAAGUAAAUCUGGAAAGCUGAAUUCUACAUCUUCUACUUUCAGCCCAAAACAUAACAAAUAAACAUAAUUAAAUGGUAAA